UACGAAAGGGGCUAGCGUUGUUCGGAAUUACUGGGCGUAAAGCGCGCGUAGGCGGGCUAGCAAGUUGGGGGUGAAAUCCCGGGGCUCAACCUCGGAACUGCCUCCAAAACUGCUAGCCUAGAGGAUGUGAGAGGAUAGUGGAAUUCCGAGUGUAGAGGUGAAAUUCGUAGAUAUUCGGAAGAACACCAGUGGCGAAGGCGCCUGUCUGGCGCAUUUCUGACGCUGAGGUGCGAAAGCGUGGGGAGCAAAUAGG
Molecule: ribosomal RNA, 253 nt
Filed under: uncultured bacterium
Lineage: Bacteria
Description: partial 16S ribosomal RNA
Rfam family: Bacterial small subunit ribosomal RNA
Source: RNAcentral